GGAGAGGUGCUGGAGUGGUUGAACAGGGCGGUCUCGAAAACCGUUAGGCGACUUGUCGCCUCGUGGGUUCGAAUCCCACCCUCUCCGCCA
Molecule: transfer RNA, 90 nt
Filed under: Bacillota bacterium
Lineage: Bacteria; Bacillati; Bacillota
Description: tRNA-Ser
Rfam family: tRNA
About the family: Transfer RNA (tRNA) molecules are approximately 80 nucleotides in length.
Source: RNAcentral